AUUGAACGCUGGCGGCAGGCCUAACACAUGCAAGUCGAACGAGUGGCGGACGGGUGAGUAAUGUCUGGGAAACUGCCUGAUGGAGGGGGAUAACUACUGGAAACGGUAGCUAAUACCGCAUACCCUCGGAUUUUCCCAGAUGGGAUUAGCUAGUAGGUGGGGUAACGGCUCCCCUAGGCGACGAUCCCUAGCUGGUCUGAGAGGAUGACCAGACAGACUGGAACUGAGACACGGCCCAGACUCCUACGGGAGGCAGCAGUGGGGAAUAUUGCACAAUGGGCGCAAGCCUGAUGCAGCCAUGCCGCGUGUAUGAAGAAGGCCUUCGGGUUGUAAAGUACUUUCAGCGGGGAGGCGUUACCCGCAGAAGAAGCACCGGAUAACGAGGUGCCAGCAGCCGCGGUAAUUC
Molecule: ribosomal RNA, 406 nt
Filed under: uncultured bacterium
Lineage: Bacteria
Description: partial 16S ribosomal RNA
Rfam family: Bacterial small subunit ribosomal RNA
Source: RNAcentral